Molecule: ribosomal RNA, 423 nt
Filed under: uncultured bacterium
Lineage: Bacteria
Description: partial 16S ribosomal RNA
Rfam family: Bacterial small subunit ribosomal RNA
Source: RNAcentral
AAUUUUGGACAAUGGGGGAAACCCUGAUCCAGCCAUCCCGCGUGUGCGAUGAAGGCCUUCGGUUUGUAAAGCACUUUGGCCAGGGAGGAAAAGGUUCUGGCUAUUACCCGGAACUGAUGACGUUACUUGAGGAAUAAGCCCCGCCUAACUACGUCCAAGUAGCCGCGGUAAUACGUAGGGUGCAAGCGUUAAUCGGAAUUACUGGGCGUAAAGCGUGCGCAGGCGGUUCGGAAAGAAGGAUGUGAAAUCCCAGGGCUCAACCUUGGAACUGCAUUCUUAACUACCGAACUAGAGUAUGUCAGAGGGGGGUAGAAUUCCGCGUGUAGCAGUGAAAUGCGUAGAUAUGCGGAGGAAUACCGAUGGCGAAGGCAGCCCCUGGGAUAAUACUGACGCUCAUGCACGAAAGCGUGGGUAGCAAACAGG